This 253-nucleotide ribosomal RNA is filed under the name uncultured Eubacteriales bacterium. Its description in RNAcentral is "uncultured Clostridiales bacterium partial 16S ribosomal RNA". It matches the Rfam family "Bacterial small subunit ribosomal RNA", at positions 524 to 776 of the family's 1533-position model. Lineage: Bacteria; Bacillati; Bacillota; Clostridia; Eubacteriales. The record is from RNAcentral.
UACGUAGGGGGCAAGCGUUAUCCGGAUUUACUGGGUGUAAAGGGAGCGUAGACGGCGUGCCAAGUCUGGUGUGAAAGGCCGGGGCUCAACCCCGGGACUGCAUUGGAAACUGGCAUGCUGGAGUGCCGGAGGGGCAAGCGGAAUUCCUAGUGUAGCGGUGAAAUGCGUAGAUAUCGCGCAGAACCCCGAUUGCGAAGGCAGCGUACCGGCUCCACACUGACGCUGAGGCACGAAAGCGUGGGUAUCGAACAGG